GUCUUGUUCCUGUUCCUAUUCCCGCUCCUGUUCCCCUUCCCGUUCCUGAUCCCGGUUCUGUUCCAAUUCCCGGCCCUAUUCCGGUUCCCAUUCCCGGUCCCAGCAGCCCCAGGACCCCGUGGUGACACCCAGGGGACAUCAGGGGUGGCGCUCUGGGGACAGGGACACGCUGGUCCCGUUCCUGUUCUUGAUCCCGUUCCUGUUCCCACUCCAGUUCCUGGUCUUGUUCCCGUUCCCAUUCCCGAUCCUGAUCCCGUUCCCGGUCCCAGCAGCCCCAGGAGCUCAGGGACCCCGUGGGGACACCCAGGGGACAUCAGGGGUGGCGCUCUGGGGACAGGGACACGCUGGUCCCGCUCCUGUUUUUGAUCCCGUUCCUGUUCCCACUCCAGUUCCUGGUCUUGUUCCUGUUCCUAUUCCCGAUCCUGAUCCCGGUUCUGUUCCCAUUCCCGGUCCCAGCAGCCCCAGGACCCCGUGGUGACACCCAGGGGACAUCAGGGGUGGCACUUUGGGGACAGGGACACGCUCGUGCCACUCCUGAUCCCAUUCCAGUUCCUGGUCUUGUUCCCGUUCCCAUUCCCGAUCCUGAUCCCAUUCCUGUUCCCGGUCCCAUUCCCGGUCCCGUUCCCGGUCCCAGCAGCCCCAGGACCCCGUGGGGACACCCAGGGGACAUCAGGGGUGGCACUGUGGGGACAGGGACACGCUGGUCCCGCUCCGUUCUUGAUCCCGUUCCUGUUCCCGUUCCCGUUCCUGGUCUUAUUUCCGAUCCUGAUCCCGUUCCCGGUUCUGUUCCCAUUCCCGGUCCCACUUUGGGGACAGGGACACGCUGGUCCCGCUCCUGUUCCCACUCCAGUUCCUGGUCUUGUUCCUGUUCCCCUUCCCAUUCCCGGUCCCAUUUCUGGUUCUGUUCCCGUUCCGGUCCCGGUUCUGUUCCUAUUCCCGGUUCUAUUCCCGGUCCUGUCCCGUUCCCGGUUCUGUUCCCGUUCCUGUCCCGGUCCCGGUUCUGUUCCUAUUCCCAGUUCUAUUCCCGGUCCUGCUCCCGUUCCCGGUUCUGUUCCCAUUCCCGGUCCCAUUUCUGAUCCUAUUCCCGCUUCUAUUCCCAGUUCUGUUCCCACUCCCAGUUCCAUUUCUGUUCCCAUUCCCGGUUCUGUUCCUAUUCCCGGUCCUAUUCCCGUUCCUGUCCCAUUCCGGUCCUGAUCCCUUUCCUGAUCCCAUUCCCGGUCCCAGCAGCCCCAGGACCCCGUGGUGACACCCAGGGGACAUCAGGGGUGGCACUUUGGGGACAGGGACACGCUGGUCCCGCUCCUGUUCCCACUCCUACUCCCAUUCCAGUUCCUGGUCUUGUUCCCGUUCCUAUUCCCGUUCCUGUCCCAUUCCCAGUCCUGAUCCCUUUCCUGAUCCCAUUCCCGGUCCCAGCAGCCCCAGGAAUGCAGGGACCCCGUGGUGACACCCAGGGGACGUCAGGGGUGGCACUUUGGGAACAGGGACACGCUGGUCCCGUUCCUGUUCCCACUCCUGCUCCCAUUCCAGUUCCUGGUCUUGUUCCUGUUCCUAUUCCUGCUCCUGCUCCCAUUCCGGUUCCUGGUCUUGUUCCCAUUCCUAUUCCCGAUCCUGAUCCCAUUCCCGGCCCUAUUCCGGUUCCCAUUCCCGGUCCCAGCAGCCCCAGGAGCUCAGGGACUCUGUGGUGACACCCAGGGGACAUCAGGGGUGGCACUUUGGGGACAGGGACACGCUGGUCCCGUUCCUAUUCUUGAUCCCGUUCCUGUUCCCACUCCUGCUCCCAUUCCAGUUCCUGGUCUUGCUCCUGUUCCUAUUCCCGAUCCUGAUCCCAUUCCCGGCCCUUCCGGUUCCCAUUCCCGGUCCCAGCAGCCCCAGGAUUGCAGGGACUCUGUGGUGACACCCAAGGGACAUCAGGGGUGGCAUUUUGGGGACAGGGACACGCUGGUCCCGUUCCUACUCUUGAUCCCGUUCCUGCUCCCAUUCCAGUUCCUGGUCUUGUUCCCGUUCCUAUUCCCGAUCCUGAUCCCCUUCCCGUUCCUGAUCCCGGUUCUGUUCCCAUUCCCGGUCCCAUUUCUGCUU
RNAcentral lists this long non-coding RNA (2076 nucleotides) under Zonotrichia albicollis (white-throated sparrow). RNAcentral describes it as "lncRNA (ENSZALG00000001397.1)". Lineage: Eukaryota; Metazoa; Chordata; Aves; Passeriformes; Passerellidae. The record is from RNAcentral.